This 124-nucleotide microRNA precursor is filed under the name Brassica oleracea var. oleracea. Its description in RNAcentral is "MIR9563 microRNA precursor family". It matches the Rfam family "MIR9563 microRNA precursor family". Lineage: Eukaryota; Viridiplantae; Streptophyta; Magnoliopsida; Brassicales; Brassicaceae. The record is from Rfam by way of RNAcentral.
GGAAGUUAAUAAACUGUUUCUUAACUUUUAACUAAAAAGCUAAGAACCGGUUUUUAAAUAAGGACUUUAAGAACCGGUUCUUAGUUUUUUUAGUUAAAAGUUAAGAAACAGUUUCUUAACUUCC